ACGUGGGUAACCUGCCUGUAAGACUGGGAUAACUCCGGGAAACCGGAGCUAAUACCGGAUAGUUCCUUGAACCGCAUGGUUCAAGGAUGAAAGACGGUUUCGGCUGUCACUUACAGAUGGACCCGCGGCGCAUUAGCUAGUUGGUGAGGUAACGGCUCACCAAGGCGACGAUGCGUAGCCGACCUGAGAGGGUGAUCGGCCACACUGGGACUGAGACACGGCCCAGACUCCUACGGGAGGCAGCAGUAGGGAAUCUUCCGCAAUGGACGAAAGUCUGACGGAGCAACGCCGCGUGAGUGAUGAAGGUUUUCGGAUCGUAAAGCUCUGUUGUUAGGGAAGAACAAGUGCAAGAGUAACUGCUUGCACCUUGACGGUACCUAACCAGAAAGCCACGGCUAACUACGUGCCAGCAGCCGCGGUAAUACGUAGGUGGCAAGCGUUGUCCGGAAUUAUUGGGCGUAAAGGGCUCGCAGGCGGUUUCUUAAGUCUGAUGUGAAAGCCCCCGGCUCAACCGGGGAGGGUCAUUGGAAACUGGGAAACUUGAGUGCAGAAGAGGAGAGUGGAAUUCCACGUGUAGCGGUGAAAUGCGUAGAGAUGUGGAGGAACACCAGUGGCGAAAGCGACUCUCUGGUCUGUAACUGACGCUGAGGA
Molecule: ribosomal RNA, 651 nt
Filed under: Bacillus altitudinis
Lineage: Bacteria; Bacillati; Bacillota; Bacilli; Caryophanales; Bacillaceae
Description: bacterial SSU rRNA
Rfam family: Bacterial small subunit ribosomal RNA
Source: RNAcentral